Molecule: transfer RNA, 74 nt
Filed under: Phenylobacterium haematophilum
Lineage: Bacteria; Pseudomonadati; Pseudomonadota; Alphaproteobacteria; Caulobacterales; Caulobacteraceae
Description: tRNA-Thr
Rfam family: tRNA
About the family: Transfer RNA (tRNA) molecules are approximately 80 nucleotides in length. Their secondary structure includes four short double-helical elements and three loops (D, anti-codon, and T loops). Further hydrogen bonds mediate the characteristic L-shaped molecular structure. tRNAs have two regions of fundamental functional importance: the anti-codon, which is responsible for specific mRNA codon recognition, and the 3' end, to which the tRNAs corresponding amino acid is attached (by aminoacyl-tRNA synthetases). tRNAs cope with the degeneracy of the genetic code in two manners: having more than one tRNA (with a specific anti-codon) for a particular amino acid; and 'wobble' base-pairing, i.e. permitting non-standard base-pairing at the 3rd anti-codon position.
Source: RNAcentral
GCCUGCGUCGUUCAGUGGCAGGACGCGCCUUUCGUACGGUCGAAACCGGGAUUCGAUUCCUCGCGCAGGCUCCA